CCAGACUCCUACGGGAGGCAGCAGUGGGGAAUAUUGGGCAAUGGGCGCAAGCCUGACCCAGCAACGCCGCGUGAAGGAAGAAGGCUUUCGGGUUGUAAACUUCUUUUCUUGGGGACGAAGAAAGUGACGGUACCCAAGGAAUAAGCCACGGCUAACUACGUGCCAGCAGCCGCGGUAAUACGGGGGGUGCAAGCGUUGUCCGGAAUCAUUGGGCGUAAAGAGUUCGUAGGCGGCACGUAAAGUCUGGUGUUAAAGGCAGAGGCUCAACUUCUGUACGGCACUGGAUACUUGCGAGCUAGAAUGCGGUAGAGGUAAAGGGAAUUCCUGGUGUAGCGGUGAAAUGCUUAGAUAUCAGGAGGAACAUCGGUGGCGUAAGCGCUUUACUGGGCCGUAAUUGACGCUGAGGAACGAAAGCCAGGGUAGCAAAUGGGAUUAGAUACCCCCGUAAAC
This 450-nucleotide ribosomal RNA is filed under the name uncultured bacterium. RNAcentral describes it as "bacterial SSU rRNA". It matches the Rfam family "Bacterial small subunit ribosomal RNA", at positions 331 to 795 of the family's 1533-position model. The record is from RNAcentral.